UGCACCACACCUACGGGUGGCAGCAGUCGAGAAUCUUCGGCAAUGGGCGCAAGCCUGACCGAGCGACGCCGCGUGCGGGAUGAAGGCCUUCGGGUUGUAAACCGCUGUCGUAGGGGAGGAAGGUCUGGUGUAUAGCCAGACCUGACCGAUCCUAGGAGGAAGGGCCGGCUAAUCUCGUGCCAGCAGCCGCGGUAAUACGAGAGGCCCAAACGUUAUUCGGAAUUACUGGGCUUAAAGAGUUCGUAGGCGGCGCAGAAAGUAGGGUGUGAAAGCCCCCGGCUCAACCGAGGAAUUGCGCUCUAAACUACUGUGCUCGAGGAGUCUAGAGGUGAGCGGAACUGAUGGUGGAGCGGUGAAAUGCGCUGAUAUCAUCAGGAACACCGGAGGCGAAGGCGGCUCACUGGGGAUUUUCUGACGCUGAGGAACGAAAGCCA
RNAcentral lists this ribosomal RNA (434 nucleotides) under uncultured Planctomycetota bacterium. RNAcentral describes it as "bacterial SSU rRNA". It matches the Rfam family "Bacterial small subunit ribosomal RNA", at positions 329 to 762 of the family's 1533-position model. The record is from RNAcentral. Lineage: Bacteria; Pseudomonadati; Planctomycetota.